RNAcentral lists this ribosomal RNA (500 nucleotides) under uncultured bacterium. RNAcentral's name for it is "partial 16S ribosomal RNA". It matches the Rfam family "Bacterial small subunit ribosomal RNA", at positions 30 to 523 of the family's 1533-position model. The record is from RNAcentral.
AUUGAACGCUGGCGGCAUGCUUUACACAUGCAAGUCGAACGGUAACAGGGUGCUUGCACCGCUGACGAGUGGCGAACGGGUGAGUAAUGCGUCGGAACGUGCCGAGUAGUGGGGGAUAACGCAGCGAAAGUUGUGCUAAUACCGCAUACGUACUGAGGUGGAAAGUGGGGGACCUUCGGGCCUCACGCUAUUCGAGCGGCCGACGUCUGAUUAGCUAGUAGGUGAGGUAAAGGCUCACCUAGGCGACGAUCAGUAGCGGGGCUGAGAGGAUGAUCCGCCACACUGGGACUGAGACACGGCCCAGACUCCUACGGGAGGCAGCAGUGGGGAAUUUUGGACAAUGGGCGAAAGCCUGAUCCAGCCAUGCCGCGUGUCUGAAGAAGGCCUUCGGGUUGUAAAGGACUUUUGUCAGGGAGGAAAUCCCUAGUGCUAAUAACACUGGGGGAUGACAGUACCUGAAGAAUAAGCACCGGCUAACUACGUGCCAGCCGCCGCGGUAA